AUUUAAGUUUCAGUAUACUUACAUGAAAAUUUAUUUGAAUUCAAGCGGGUGUUAAUAACAUGAAUUAACCCAACAGCUAGAUCAACGCAAGAAUGCCUUUUUCCCCCUCCUUCUUCUUCUCUACAACAUUUACUAAAUCUCCGUCGACGCCAUAGUUUAGAGUUGGGAGAGACAAAGAAAUGGGUCAACAAGGAAGUUCGAUUCCUGUCUAGCUCUG
RNAcentral lists this unclassified non-coding RNA (217 nucleotides) under Hevea brasiliensis (rubber tree). Lineage: Eukaryota; Viridiplantae; Streptophyta; Magnoliopsida; Malpighiales; Euphorbiaceae. The record is from RNAcentral.